RNAcentral lists this ribosomal RNA (497 nucleotides) under uncultured bacterium. RNAcentral's name for it is "partial 16S ribosomal RNA". It matches the Rfam family "Bacterial small subunit ribosomal RNA", at positions 28 to 507 of the family's 1533-position model. The record is from RNAcentral.
GAUGAACGCUGGCGGCGUGCCUAAUACAUGCAAGUCGAGCGAACAGACGAGGAGCUUGCUCCUCUGACGUUAGCGGCGGACGGGUGAGUAACACGUGGAUAACCUACCUAUAAGACUGGGAUAACUUCGGGAAACCGGAGCUAAUACCGGAUAAUAUAUUGAACCGCAUGGUUCAAUAGUGAAAGACGGUUUUGCUGUCACUUAUAGAUGUAUCCGCGCCGCAUUAGCUAGUUGGUAAGGUAACGGCUUACCAAGGCGACGAUGCGUAGCCGACCUGAGAGGGUGAUCGGCCACACUGGAACUGAGACACGGUCCAGACUCCUACGGGAGGCAGCAGUAGGGAAUCUUACGCAAUGGGCGAAAGCCUGACGGAGCAACGCCGCGUGAGUGAUGAAGGUCUUCGGAUCGUAAAACUCUGUUAUUAGGGAAGAACAAAUGUGUAAGUAACUAUGCACGUCUUGACGGUACCUAAUCAGAAAGCCACGGCUAACUACGUG